This is a long non-coding RNA of Bubalus bubalis (water buffalo), 822 nucleotides long. RefSeq lists it as uncharacterized. NCBI's taxonomy places the organism in Eukaryota, Metazoa, Chordata, Mammalia, Artiodactyla, Bovidae. The transcript has 3 exons. The record is from RefSeq and is a predicted model, not a curated record.
UCAAGCUCUGGGAGUUGGUGAUGGACAGGGAAGCCUGGCGUGCUGCAGCCCGUGGGGUCACAAAGAGUCAGACACAACUGAGUGACUGAACUGAACUGAGCCUUGGGUGUCUGACUACCUAGAUUCUAAUCCUGGUUCAACUACCUGUAUGACCUAGAGCAAGUCUCCUAAUAUUCUGCCUCAACUGUCUUAUCCUUGUGAUGGAAAUAACCAUUUUAACCACUUCCUCUGAUGAAGAAAACGAGGUUCAGAGAGACUAAAUGAUGUCACCAAGCCCACUCAGCUAUUUGACUGUGAAUUCAGAGCUUGACUUCAGAUCUCAGGAUCACAGAUGGCUAUGCAGUUGUUGACCCACCAGGAUUGGGGCAGAGAGACAGAAGGAAAAGCAGGAAGCGCAGGUAUUGGGUACCAUUUCGAGAUGACGGGACCCUCUCUGGACCUGGGAGGCAUUCACUGCUGACCCUCGUGCUGUCAGACACUUGGUCAGGUCUUUUCAAGUUUCCUUUGCUGGGCCUUUCUGACUGCAACCACACUGAUGUGAUAGGUCUCCUUUGGCAGCAUCCCACCCCCUCACCACCCCCCUCCACCACUGGUUCCAUCAGUCUGCUCCUCAUCCUCUGCCUGGCCAUCUUGGGAAGAAGCCUGAAUGACUCCAGUCUGAUCACCUGCUCUGGGGUUUGUGCAUCUUUAACCGGUGAUCCAAAAUCACCGUGGAUGGUGACUGUUGCCAUGAAAUUAAAAAACGCUUGCUCCUUGGAAGAAAAGUUAUGACCAACCUAGAUAGCAUAUUAAAAAGCAGAGACAUUACUUUGCCCACGAAGG